UCUGUUCUAGGAAAUUACUUUAAAUUUUAGUCUUCAGAGGAAGCAAAAGACAUACUUCAUAAGUACAAAUGAUCUUCCUAAGUACAAAAGAUACGGUGGUACCAUGGUUCAUGAACGUAAUUUGUUCCAUGAUUCUGGGGAAGAUGGAUGUGGUCAUAUUCAUCACCAGACGCAAAGUUCAGGAAAAGUUGAAAGUGAGGAAUAUAUGGAAAAUUAUUUGAAUUGCAAUUGUGGUAGAAGGAGCCUGAAGCAGAAGUAUCACAAGUUUGAGUCCCACUUGGGCAACUUACCAAGACCCUGACUAAAAAAAAAUAAAUAAAAAUAAAAAGGACUGGAAUGCUGCUUAGUGAGAAGACCUUGAGUUCAAUCCCCAGUACCACAAAAAGGAAAAUGAAGAAUUACAGUUCCCUAGUCCACAAACCUGAUGGGAGAAGCCCAAGUGAUUCUAAUCCAGCACCUCUGUGGAGGGAGGGAUCGAACUCCAGACCUUGUGCUUGCGAGGCAGGCUGAAGAACCACUGAGUUAAAUCCCCACCCCCUAAAGAUGGUUUUGAAAAAGGAAUUCUGCCAGAUGAGCAUGACCUAGGGCACCAUACAUUCUCUGUAACACAGAAAUCAACAAAUAUUUUUAUUCUUAACAAUUCUUUAGCAAUGUAAGGCUAGGAAGAACAGCUAUUUUUAACUUAUCCUAGAAGAGUAGAGUAGCAUUUCAUUAUACAAAUAUAUCCAAUAUGUUUUUCAAUUCUAUUAUCA
This 752-nucleotide long non-coding RNA is filed under the name Heterocephalus glaber (naked mole-rat). Its description in RNAcentral is "lncRNA (ENSHGLG00000036813.1)". Lineage: Eukaryota; Metazoa; Chordata; Mammalia; Rodentia; Bathyergidae. The record is from RNAcentral.